GAUGAACGCUAGUACCGCAUAAUGUACGAAGAUCGCAUGUUUUUCGUACCAAAGAUUUAUUGCUGAUAGAUGGGCUCGCGUCUGAUUAGGUAGUUGGUGGGGGUAACGGCCUACCAAGCCGACGAUCAGUAGCCGGACUGAGAGGUUGAACGGCCACAUUGGAACUGAGAAACGGUCCAGACUCCUACGGGAGGCAGCAGUGGGGAAUAUUGGGCAAUGGGCGCAAGCCUGACCCAGCGACGCCGCGUGAGGGAAGACGGUCUUCGGAUUGUAAACCUCUUUCAGCAUGGAAGAAGCAUGACGGUACAUGCAGAAGAAGCCACGGCUAACUACGUG
This 336-nucleotide ribosomal RNA is filed under the name uncultured bacterium. RNAcentral's name for it is "bacterial SSU rRNA". It matches the Rfam family "Bacterial small subunit ribosomal RNA", at positions 155 to 507 of the family's 1533-position model. The record is from RNAcentral.